GGAUGUGAGGGCGAUCUGGCUGUGACAUCUGUCACCCCAUUGAUCACCAGGGUUGAUUCGGCUGAUCUGGCUGGCUAGGCGGGUGUCCCCUUCCUCCCUCAACGAUCCAUGUGCGUCCCUCCCGAAGCUGCGCGCUCGGUCGAAGAGAACGACCACCCCCGAUAGAGGAGGACCGUUCCUCGGUCAAGGGUAUACGAGUAGCUGCGCUCCCCUGCUAGAACCUCCAAACAAGCUCUCAGGACAUCACACCCUGAGAGUUACUUUUACCAGUCCUCUCCCCGCGCCUGGUUCUUAGGCAUUUGGACUUGGAAUGAACUGCAACACUGGCUUUUUUGGUU
RNAcentral lists this small RNA (338 nucleotides) under Octodon degus (degu). RNAcentral describes it as "7SK RNA (ENSODEG00000022914.1)". It matches the Rfam family "7SK RNA", at positions 1 to 251 of the family's 331-position model. Rfam says of the family: 7SK was discovered as an abundant small nuclear RNA in the mid-70s but a possible function has only recently been suggested. Two independent studies have found that 7SK RNA binds the CDK9/cyclin T complex (known as elongation factor P-TEFb). P-TEFb activates transcription by phosphorylating the C-terminal domain of RNA polymerase II. The record is from RNAcentral. Lineage: Eukaryota; Metazoa; Chordata; Mammalia; Rodentia; Octodontidae.